UUCCUACGGGCGGCUGCAGUGGGGAAUUUUGGACAAUGGGGGCAACCCUGAUCCAGCCAUGCCGCGUGCGGGAAGAAGGCCUUCGGGUUGUAAACCGCUUUUAGUCGGGAAGAAAAGGUUACCCCUAAUAAGGGUGACUCUUGACGGUACCGGCGGAAUAAGCACCGGCUAACUACGUGCCAGCAGCCGCGGUAAUACGUAGGGUGCGAGCGUUAAUCGGAAUUACUGGGCGUAAAGCGUGCGCAGGCGGUUCGUUAAGUUCGAUGUGAAAGCCCCGGGCUCAACCUGGGAAUGGCAUUGAAAACUGGCGGGCUUGAGUCUGGCAGAGGGGGGUGGAAUUCCGCGUGUAGCAGUGAAAUGCGUAGAGAUGCGGAGGAACACCGAUGGCGAAGGCAGCCCCCUGGGCCAAGACUGACGCUCAGGCACGAAAGCGUGGGGAGCAAACAGGAUUAGAUACCCCGGUAGUCU
RNAcentral lists this ribosomal RNA (468 nucleotides) under uncultured bacterium. RNAcentral's name for it is "bacterial SSU rRNA". It matches the Rfam family "Bacterial small subunit ribosomal RNA", at positions 336 to 796 of the family's 1533-position model. The record is from RNAcentral.